UUCCUGUGAAAUAUUCUAGCACAUCCACCAGCUUACAAAAUUCUACACGAGGACUAUUAAUCCAUCACCACGACGAAUACAGUCAACAAUCAACAAUUAAUUAAGUACACAUAAACACACACACAACAAAUUAGAUACACAUAAUCACACCCAAUAUUACACACAUAUAUUUAAGAUUUAAACACUCAUAAAGAUACAUAGACAUACAUAAACAUACAAACAACACUAUAUUAAAGAUUAAAGGAUUUCUCUAAAGGAA
This is a long non-coding RNA of Drosophila sechellia, 259 nucleotides long. RefSeq lists it as uncharacterized. Lineage: Eukaryota; Metazoa; Arthropoda; Insecta; Diptera; Drosophilidae. The transcript is spliced from 2 exons. The record is from RefSeq and is a predicted model, not a curated record.